This 1167-nucleotide long non-coding RNA is filed under the name Homo sapiens (human). Its description in RNAcentral is "HSALNT0331375". The record is from RNAcentral. Lineage: Eukaryota; Metazoa; Chordata; Mammalia; Primates; Hominidae.
UUGCCUUAGGUGGGGGAGAUUUUUCUCCCUCUUCACCGCCUCGCCUUCCCUCUGUUUCGAAAGGUUCGGGAAAGUCCAAGUCAUAACAUAAAAAGUGUGCGUAUUCCCGGCCGCCGGCAGGACCUGUUCGCGGGGAAGUUCCUCUUGAACUUUCUCCGAGGACAGUUGUGCACCCUGCCCGGCGCUUCACGGGGUUCCCUGGCCGUCGUUGUCUUUGUGACACCAUUUCCUCUUUUAAAUUUUCAUUUCAUGGUCUAUAUUUUCCACUUCGUCAUUUUUCUGUAGCACUCAUUAGAACAAGCCCCGAAAGGGCGACUAAGGAAACGCACAGGCGAGGCAGGAAAGCAGGAAUUUUUUUUUUUUUUUAAUCUAAUGACUAUGACGGCUUGGCAAGAAAGAGUGCACGAUAGUGGACUGGAAAUCAGAGGUGGCUUCUCCUAUUGAUUAGUUAAGUGGGAUAACAAAAACCGACCUCAUUAUUAAAUAAGAUUUGCAGUAAGGACCACAUGGCAGAUGUUAGCGAUUGUGACUACUAUCUCUGGUAUCCAACUGUGUGGCCUGGAAGAGUUACGAGAAUAAAGAUGGCACAAAGUACAACUGUAUGCCCUUGACCCCAAUUCACCUGGAGCUCACGUUUACUUCAUUCGUGUCAUCAUCUGCAUGUGCUCCCUCUCUAGAUCUGUAUGGAUAUAAGCACAUUUUUCCUUGGACUUUGUGAGGCGUUGUAAAUGGACGAGCCUGCUUGCUGCAGAGGUAACCCUCGGGACCUGGGACACUGUUUGUUGUAUAACACAGCGUUGUAAAUGGACGAGCCUGCUUGCUGCAGAGGUAACCCUCGGGACCUGGGACACUGUUUGUUGUAUAACACAGCGUUGUAAAUGGACGAGCCUGCUUGCUGCAGAGGUAACCCUCGGGAAGUCUGGUUCCCCCGAAUUUUACCUGCUCAUCUCUGGGCCAAGGGCAUAAUAUCUCUGCACAGCUAAUAGCCCGAUGGCCACACUAGUCCAGAAGCUCCGCUCUGCACAGAGUUGGAAGUUCAUCUACUUCUCAGUGAACAACAUCAUGAGUUCUUCAAAAUUGAUGCCGGUGUAGGCCAGGUGAGGUGGCUCGUGCCUGUCAUCCCAGCACUUUGUGAGGCCAAGGUGGGCGGACCAUUUGAGGUCAGGA